GACGAACGUUGGCGGCGUGCUUAAUACAUGCAAGUCAACUGAAGCAGUGGUAGCAAUAUCGCUGUGGAGGUGGCGCACGGGUGAGUAACACGUAGGUAAUCUGCCUUCAGGUCUGGCAUAACUCCGGGAAACCGGGGCUAAUAGCAGAUGAUGCAGCGGCUCGACAUCGAGACAGUUGUCAAAGCUAUGGCGCCUGAAGAUGAGCCUGCGUCUGAUUAGCUAGUUGGCGGGGUAACGGCCCACCAAGGCAACGAUCAGUAGCUGGUCUGAGAGGAUGAUCAGCCACACUGGAACUGAGACACGGUCCAGACUCCUACGGGAGGCAGCAGUAAGGAAUAUUGCUCAAUGGGAGAAAUCCUGAAGCAGCAACGCCGCGUGAGGGACGAAGGGCUUUGGCUUGUAAACCUCUGUAGUGAGAGAAAAAAAUCCCAAUCUUUGGGACAUGAUGGUAGCUCAAAAGUAAGCCCCGGCUAACUACGUG
This 481-nucleotide ribosomal RNA is filed under the name uncultured bacterium. RNAcentral describes it as "partial 16S ribosomal RNA". It matches the Rfam family "Bacterial small subunit ribosomal RNA", at positions 28 to 507 of the family's 1533-position model. The record is from RNAcentral.